UGACCUCGGAUCAGGUAGGGAUACCCGCUGAACUUCAA
RNAcentral lists this ribosomal RNA (38 nucleotides) under Aspergillus flavus. Its description in RNAcentral is "partial 28S ribosomal RNA". Lineage: Eukaryota; Fungi; Ascomycota; Eurotiomycetes; Eurotiales; Aspergillaceae. The record is from RNAcentral.